This 303-nucleotide ribosomal RNA is filed under the name uncultured bacterium. Its description in RNAcentral is "partial 16S ribosomal RNA". It matches the Rfam family "Bacterial small subunit ribosomal RNA", at positions 507 to 808 of the family's 1533-position model. The record is from RNAcentral.
AGCAGUCGCCACGGGAAUACGAGGGGAGCUAGCGUUAUUCGGAUUGAUUGGGUGUAAAGGGUGUGCAGACGGCUUAUUAAGUCACUUGUUAAAUUCUUCGGCCUAACUGAAGGUCUGCAAGUGAUACUGAUGAGCUAGAGGGUGGAAGAGAGAAGUGGAAUUCUCGGAGUAGCGGUAAAAUGCGUAGAUCUCGAGAGGAACACCAAUGGCGAAGGCAGCUUCUUGGUCCAUUCCUGACGUUCAUACACGAAAGAGUGGGGAGCAAACAGGAUUAGAUACCCGCGUAGUCCCUGUCUCUUAUAU